AAAAAAUUAAACAAAAAAGGAUCUGGGACCCCCUGCUCUCUCUCUUGCUCCCUUUCUCAUUGUGUGACAUGUCUGUUCCCCUUUUGCCUUCUUCUAUGAGUGAAAGCUUCCUGUAGCCUCACUAGAAGCCGAACAGAUGCUGGUGCCACGUUUGUACAGCCUGCAGAACUAUUCCAAAGCUCUUGAGCUGCAUGAAGUCACUGGAACACAGUAGAGCUUCUGAACCUGUAGCUGGAGAUGAGUAUCACCAGCCAACAUCCUUGGCAGAGCUGUGAGCCAACAGCCAGCCCCAGCCUGCCAGCCGUGUGAGCAAGCAGUCUUGGAAGGUGAUUCUACAGCCCCAGCUGAAACACUCCAACUGAUGCCAUGUGAGCCGAGAAGAGCAGCCAAACUGAGCCCUUCUCAAAUCCCUGAUCCUCCAAAUCUCCUCCUGAAAAGCAUGCAGCCGGCAGAAGAUCUGGAUACCACAGAGACUGAGAUUCUACAUGUGUUCAGAGACCGGAGUCCCUACCACAGAACCUGUGACCUGUGCUUCUAGGGUCUUCAAAGUCAAUAAAAAUCAGCAGGUGAUUGAAGGAGAAGGA
Molecule: long non-coding RNA, 584 nt
Filed under: Homo sapiens (human)
Lineage: Eukaryota; Metazoa; Chordata; Mammalia; Primates; Hominidae
Description: HSALNT0305153
Source: RNAcentral